Molecule: unclassified non-coding RNA, 261 nt
Filed under: Hevea brasiliensis (rubber tree)
Lineage: Eukaryota; Viridiplantae; Streptophyta; Magnoliopsida; Malpighiales; Euphorbiaceae
Source: RNAcentral
GCCAAACCAUGACAUCCUCUUUAGCUUUUUCCAUUGUUUCUAACAAAUUUAUCUCAAGCCAAAAUACAUGCUUUUCAACUUGGUGGAUAUUCCACUAGGAAUUUAAAAAAAAAAAAAGAUAAAAGGGCAAAUCUGUAAUUAAAAGGAGAAGCAAGGGUUAAUUUGCUGCCAUUAUUGUGUUUUCUUCUACCUCCCACAGAAUCCUUAUUUCGUGCCUCUCUCUUCCAUUUUCAAACCCUUGAGAGAGACACACAAAAUUGC